This 30-nucleotide non-coding RNA is filed under the name Mus musculus (house mouse). Lineage: Eukaryota; Metazoa; Chordata; Mammalia; Rodentia; Muridae. The record is from RNAcentral.
UCAGAGACCCGAGGAAAAUGCAUUUGCAAU